This 77-nucleotide transfer RNA is filed under the name Mesorhizobium sp. AR10. RNAcentral's name for it is "tRNA-Leu". It matches the Rfam family "tRNA". From Rfam's summary of the family: Transfer RNA (tRNA) molecules are approximately 80 nucleotides in length. Their secondary structure includes four short double-helical elements and three loops (D, anti-codon, and T loops). The record is from RNAcentral. Lineage: Bacteria; Pseudomonadati; Pseudomonadota; Alphaproteobacteria; Hyphomicrobiales; Phyllobacteriaceae.
GAUAGCUCAGUUUGGUUAGAGCAUCAGAUUCAGGUUCUGAUUGUCGAAGGUUCAAAUCCUUCUCCAUUGGCCUUCCA